This 550-nucleotide small RNA is filed under the name Malus domestica (apple). RNAcentral describes it as "sRNA MD05G0025000". The record is from RNAcentral. Lineage: Eukaryota; Viridiplantae; Streptophyta; Magnoliopsida; Rosales; Rosaceae.
GACGCUGCUCUUCCCUUACUCCCUCCUCGCCUCACUUUUCUCUGCACCAAGCAGCUCGAUUUAGGGCUUCACCAUUUCUCUUCGAAUCAAGUUUCCAGGAUCUACAAUUGCAAAUCCUUUGAUGGAUAAAACACAGAGGACCAGCUACGCUUAUAGAGCUUCUUUAGCAUCACCAUAAUUUUUAAGCAACAAAAUUAAGCUGGAAAUUAAAUUGAGAUUAAGAUUUUUAAGCGAGAAAAUCAAGUUGGAAAUUCAAUUGAAAUUGUAAUGAAUUUGCAAAUUUGUCAAGUAUAUCUUACAUUCGUGGUUCCAUAUUCACUUUACCCAUAACUAUUGAAUUUUGUCUCUUGACUGGAUGGAUUUUUAUAGUUUCCAGGAUCUACAAUUGCAAAUCCUUUGAUGGAUAAAACACAGAGGACCAGCUACGCUUAUAGAGCUUCUUUAGCAUCAGUAAAAAGGUCAUACCCAGUGCACAAGGCUCCCGCUUUACGCAGGGUCUGGGAGAGGUGAAUGUUGGCUAGCCUUACCCCCAUUUAUGGAGAGGCUGCUC